This 268-nucleotide unclassified non-coding RNA is filed under the name uncultured fungus. Its description in RNAcentral is "sequence contains ITS2". Lineage: Eukaryota; Fungi. The record is from RNAcentral.
AACGCAUAUUGCACUCUCUGGUAUUCCGGAGAGUACACCUGUUCGAGCGCCAUAUUAAGCCUCAAGUUCAACUUGGUGUUGGAGGAAAUCGUCUUUGAUUCCUCCGAAAUUGAUGGUGUAACCCAAAUCCGGCCAAGUGCAGCAAUGUUAUGUAGGCGCUUGCAGUGAAGGGAGGUUACGUCCUGAAAAGAGGGAUUCGUCCAAGGAAGGAGUCCCUCUUACUUUCAAGUUUGGCCUCGAAUCAGGUGGGGAUACCCGCUGAACUUAA